This 419-nucleotide ribosomal RNA is filed under the name bacterium. Its description in RNAcentral is "partial 16S ribosomal RNA". It matches the Rfam family "Bacterial small subunit ribosomal RNA", at positions 355 to 776 of the family's 1533-position model. The record is from RNAcentral.
UGGGGGAUAUUGCACAAUGGGCGCAAGCCUGAUGCAGCGACGCCGCGUGGGGGAUGAAGGCCUUCGGGUUGUAAACUUCUUUUGCUCUGAACAAGGCGCACUUUGGGGUGUGUUGAGUGUAGGGGUUGAUUAGCGCCGGCUAACUACGUGCCAGCAGCCGCGGUAAUACGUAGGGCGCGAGCGUUGUCCGGAAUUAUUGGGCGUAAAGGGCUUGUAGGUGGCUGGUUGCGUCUGUCGUGAAAGCUCAUGGCUUAACUGUGGGUUUGCGGUGGGUACGGGCUGGCAUGAGUGCAGUAGGGGAGGCUGGAAUUCCUGGUGUAGCGGUGGAAUGCGCAGAUAUCAGGAGGAAUACCGGUGGCGAAGGCGGGUCUCUGGGCUGUUACUGACACUGAGGAGCGAAAGCAUGGGGAGCGAACAGG